RNAcentral lists this ribosomal RNA (301 nucleotides) under uncultured bacterium. Its description in RNAcentral is "partial 16S ribosomal RNA". It matches the Rfam family "Bacterial small subunit ribosomal RNA", at positions 509 to 808 of the family's 1533-position model. The record is from RNAcentral.
CAGUCGCCGCGGUAAUACGUAGGUCCCGAGUGUUGUCCGGAUUUAUUGGGCGUAAAGCGAGCGCAGGCGGUUAGAUAAGUCUGAAGUUAAAGGCUGUGGCUUAACCAUAGUACGCUUUGGAAACUGUUUAACUUGAGUGCAAGAGGGGAGAGUGGAAUUCCAUGUGUAGCGGUGAAAUGCGUAGAUAUAUGGAGGAACACCGGUGGCGAAAGCGGCUCUCUGGCUUGUAACUGUCGCUGAGGCUCGAAAGCGAGGGGAGCAAACAGGAUUAGAUACCCCAGUAGUCCCUGUCUCUUAUACC